GUCUAUGGCUAUACCACCCUGAACACACCUGAUCUCGUCUGAUCUGGGAAGCAGGGUCGGGCCUGGUUAGUACUUGGAUGGGAGACAAAGUAAUGCUCUGGUUCUCUACACC
This is a ribosomal RNA of Erinaceus europaeus (western European hedgehog), 112 nucleotides long. Lineage: Eukaryota; Metazoa; Chordata; Mammalia; Eulipotyphla; Erinaceidae. The record is from Ensembl.